Molecule: long non-coding RNA, 1571 nt
Organism: Gorilla gorilla gorilla (western lowland gorilla)
Lineage: Eukaryota; Metazoa; Chordata; Mammalia; Primates; Hominidae
Exons: 4
Source: RefSeq, a predicted model, not a curated record
AUGGCGGAGCCCCAGUGCCCGGAAAUGCAACGGCACGGACAGCGCGAGGCCACGGCGCCCCCUGGAGGUCGGCGCCCGCGGCCAGCAAAUGCCAAACCUCAGCUGGUGCCUGAGCUGGCAUCCUCUUCCUCCUGUCGGCGGGAGGUGUGGAUCACCUGCUGCGUGCGGGGAACAAACGCCGACCCAGUACCGGUCCCUGCAGCGGAGUAGCCUUCGCCUGCAAGGUGAACGCCUGCUCACCACGUAAUCCCUAAACGCAGAUAUCACGUUGUCUCUGCAACUUUCCCUGACAACCACCCAAUGCAAUUAAUUAUCCCACAAUAGUAUCUCCCGCAGGCUCUCUGUAGAACCAUAGAAUUCAUCCAUCAAAAUACAAUCAUUUGUUGAUCCGUCUCUCUCUGCCGCCCCCAAAUGUGAAUUCCUUGAGUCAGAGACUAUUCUACUCAGCAAAACAUUUGUGAGUGGAAUUAAAUUGAAAUAAACCGUUAUAGUCUACUCACAGAUGGAAAACACAUAGUAAAAUCCUAGAAUUCCAUUUCUCCCCUGAAAAUUUCCCAGACAAUCAGAGGGAGUUUCAUACUUUCCUGUUUACUUUUCUCCCAAAUAGGCCUUCUGAGGCAGCAGAAUAGGGAAGGAAGUCAGAAGACUGACCAGCUCAUACAUACGGAAUGCCUAUCAUACAUACACUUAAAAUUAUGGCAAGCUCACGCAGGCGCACUAAGAGAGAAAAAACAAGAAAACAGAUAUGACAAUUAUAGGAAAUCCCCUCCCUAGAGUUAAAGAAGUGUAGGAAGUGGGUAUAAAAGAACAAAGGCUAUAUUAAUCCAGGGCUGACACCACUUGAAGAUAAGCCCGUUCCUCUCUCUGGAACAUUCUUUGCUUAAUAAAUUUUGUGGGGUGGUUAUUUGGGUGUCUCAUCCAAUUCUUUGUUCAUAACACCAAGAACCUGGAACUCCCAACUUCCAAUCUGGUAACAUAUUUUGGUGAGCCAGCCAGGAGGGUCAAGCCUGCAAUACCUAAAGCUCCAGACCUGGAACCCAAAGCUCCCAUCAGUCGCUACCCUGUGAACCUGUGGAGGAUCUGAAGUACCUGUUUAAAAGGCAUCCAAAAGAUAGAAUCUAUCAAGCUACAAAUGGCUAUAUUGCCUGAAGCCCCAGACAUCAUCCUACAAGAAAUAAGCCCAGACUUCUCAAUUUCCCCCUGGAUAGAGCAGGGGUACUCCUUAAUGACUUUACGAAGUUCUUGUUUGUUAAAUGCAAGUUGGUAACUUACUUCCUCCUCCCUUAUGCCCUGUGCCACGCGAGCUUCAACACCUUCAAAGAAAUGCUUCAAGGAAAUGAAAAGAAACAAUGGCUAAGACCUGCUUUUAUUAUUAUUUACAUUAAAAAAAAUCUGAUUACAAAGUAGUGUAUAAUCACCAUGCAAAAAUCAGUGUGUGAAAGUAUAAACAAUAAAAUAACAAUCACUUAUUAACAUACUUCUGAGAUGAGCAUUGUUAAUACUGUAGAGUUCCUUGUAAUCUUUUGAUGUGUGAAUACAUAUGUGAGAUUAAAAUUUCAUGUCCCACUUUA